Pundamilia nyererei is the source of this 297-nucleotide long non-coding RNA. RefSeq lists it as uncharacterized. The transcript is spliced from 3 exons. The record is from RefSeq and is a predicted model, not a curated record. Lineage: Eukaryota; Metazoa; Chordata; Actinopteri; Cichliformes; Cichlidae.
GAAUGCAUUUACUAAAACUGAAGCAAAACGAGAACUGCACACCAUUGCAUCGUCUCCUUCAGACAAACACGUGUUUCAAGUGAAGAACUUCAACGCACUUGGAUUAAUAAGACAGAAUCUGCAGGAGAAAAUUUUCUCCAUCGAAGGAUCUCAAAGCAGUGGAGAGUCACUGAAAAUGGAAAUGUCUCAAGAGGGAUUCAGUGCAGUUUAUGUGCCUGAGGGAAUUCAAAUGUCUAUUGUUGGUGCAAACCAAUGGAAGGGAGGCUACGUGCAAUACACAACAGAGGGCCAGAAAGU